GCAUCUAUAUACAUAUAAUAAAAUCGUAGAAAAGUGCUGUCUGUACAUUGAAAAUAAAAAUAAAAAAAAUAGCAGGGGUUAUUGUUAUGUCGAUGUCGAACCCAAAAAUGUAAUUAACUUUUUUUUGUCUGUUUGUCUGUUUGUCUGUUUGUCUGUUUGUCUGUUUGUCUGUUUGUCUGUUCGUCUGUGCGCGCUAAUCUCAGAAACGGCUGAUCCGAGUUGGAUGCGGUUUUCACGAAUAUAUUGUGGGAUGCUUAAAUUUACAUUUAGUUUCAUGUCAAUCGGUUCAUAAAUAAAAAAGUUAUGUCAAAUUAAAGAAUCACGUCGAACAUUCUAUGCUUAUACCAUUAAUCUCCGCAACUAUUUGACGGAUUUGGUUGAAAUUUGGUACAGAUAUAGUUUAGAACCUUAGAAAGGACAUAGAUAUAUUUUUAUUUCAAAAAUCAAAAAAUAAAAAUAAGAAAUAAAUUAUUUAUAAAUAAUUCUAUGUCGAUCGUUACACGACUUCGGUUCAUGUUAUUGUUUUAAUUCAUCGAAAAAAAGUAAAUAAAUAGUAAAAAGGUAUGAAAAAAAUAAUAUCAAUAUAAUUAAACUUUUAGUACAAAGAAAAUGCCCGAACGGAGUAUAAAUAAAUAAUCCAAGUUGUCUUUAUCCUCGAUAGAUGGCGUUGGGAUCGAAAUAGAUCGCGCUAUGGUUUCGUUACAUUCAUUUGGUUGGGUAUCGGCCGAGCGCUUCGGUACUAUCGUAGAAAAAGUGUAUUAUCAGUCGUAUGAUUAUUUGUCUGUAGUGGUCCUGCUGUUUCGUAUAUUCUAAAUUGGUUUCGUUGUAUUUGUCAAUUAAUAAGUUUAUUUGUUGGGUUUUCCUGGUUUUUUGGUUAAACUAUUUAACGUAGGUUUAGUUUGAUAUCGAUUAUUAGUAGUUACUGUAGUUAGUUUUUUUAAUAAAAUUGUAAGUCUAAUUUGUAAAUUAAUUAGAUUAAAGUCGUUUCUUUUAAAUUAUUUAGUUUAAGCUUGGUUAUUAUAGCAUAGAGGAUAGGUUGUAAUAUAGUUUCUUUUUUAAUUGUUAUAAAUUCGUAAUUCGUAGCUUUCUUUAGUUUUAAGUUAGUUUAAGUCCGUUUUUAAACUAUUUUUUCAAUGCCCUAAGUGAGUAUACAUCUAUUAAAUUCAAACGCAGAGCUCAUUAUGUUGAUUUUUUAAGAGUUCCCUGGAAUAUCUUCCACAUCUCAUUUUUGAAGAGAUCCCGCGAGAUCGGGACCUAUGUGGUUAAAACCAAAAAUUUGCCGGAAGUCACUAUUCCACGCGAACGAAGUCGCGGGCAAAAGCUAUAUUAUAAUAAAUCUGUAGAAGGGUCAAUUCUGUACAUUGAAAAUAUUGAAAGAAUAAAUAGCAGGGGUUGUUACUGGAUCGAUACCAAACCCAAAUAUGUGAUUAAACAUUUUUUGUCUGUCUGUCUGUCUGUCUUUCUGUCUGUCUGUAUGUUCAGGCAUCACGUGAAAACUAACGGUUCGAUUUUGAUGAAACUUGGUAUAAUUAUACCUUAUAAGCCUGGGCAUAAAAUAGGUUACUUUUUAUCCUAUUUACGUAAUUACCUAGAAAAAAUAAUAUUUUUCAGUUUUAUUUCUACAGAACGCGAGCUCAACAGCAGUAGCUCAAAAGAGGGAUCUCCUUAAUUACUAUGGGCCUUGCCGUAUUUGGGUCCAAUAGAUAUUUAUAAGAUGUCAUUGUCAGAGUUACUCAAAAUGGAGAAAUAAAACUUCCACGCGAAGCCCGACAUCCGCGCGGACGGAGUCGCGGGCGGAAGCUAGUUCAAAAUAUAAU
This is a long non-coding RNA of Spodoptera frugiperda (fall armyworm), 1817 nucleotides long. RefSeq lists it as uncharacterized. The transcript is spliced from 2 exons. NCBI's taxonomy places the organism in Eukaryota, Metazoa, Arthropoda, Insecta, Lepidoptera, Noctuidae. The record is from RefSeq and is a predicted model, not a curated record.